CUGCUGCCUUCCGUAGGAGUUUGGACCGUGUCUCAGUUCCAAUGUGGGGGACCUUCCUCUCAGAACCCCUAUCCAUCGUCGUCUUGGUGGGCCGUUACCCCGCCAACUAACUAAUGGAACGCAUCCCCAUCGAUAACCGAAAUUCUUUAAUAUCAAGAUCAUGCGAUCUUGAUAUCCUAUCGGAUAUUAAUCUUUCUUUCGAAAGGCUAUCCCCGAGUUAUCGGCAGGUUGGAUACGUGUUACUCACCCGUGCGCCGGUCGCCAUCGG
This 268-nucleotide ribosomal RNA is filed under the name uncultured bacterium. RNAcentral describes it as "partial 16S ribosomal RNA". The record is from RNAcentral.